This 487-nucleotide ribosomal RNA is filed under the name Penicillium sp. DY115-21-8-M32. Its description in RNAcentral is "eukaryotic LSU rRNA". The stretch from base 115 to 268 matches the Rfam family "5.8S ribosomal RNA". Lineage: Eukaryota; Fungi; Ascomycota; Eurotiomycetes; Eurotiales; Aspergillaceae. The record is from RNAcentral.
CCUCCCACCCGUGUUGCCCGAACCUAUGUUGCCUCGGCGGGCCCCGCGCCCGCCGACGGCCCCCCUGAACGCUGUCUGAAGUUGCAGUCUGAGACCUAUAACGAAAUUAGUUAAAACUUUCAACAACGGAUCUCUUGGUUCCGGCAUCGAUGAAGAACGCAGCGAAAUGCGAUAACUAAUGUGAAUUGCAGAAUUCAGUGAAUCAUCGAGUCUUUGAACGCACAUUGCGCCCUCUGGUAUUCCGGAGGGCAUGCCUGUCCGAGCGUCAUUGCUGCCCUCAAGCCCGGCUUGUGUGUUGGGCCCCGUCCCCCCCGCCGGGGGGACGGGCCCGAAAGGCAGCGGCGGCACCGCGUCCGGUCCUCGAGCGUAUGGGGCUUCGUCACCCGCUCUAGUAGGCCCGGCCGGCGCCAGCCGACCCCCAACCUUUAAUUAUCUCAGGUUGACCUCGGAUCAGGUAGGGAUACCCGCUGAACUUAAGCAUAUCAAU